GGAAAUUGGGGCAAACAGACAAAAGAAUCAAAACGCCGCUUGAUGGUCUUUUUCUUCUGCUUCUAUUGUGUGUUGGAGUUCCUGAAUCAUGAGCUAAGCCACUUUUUUUUUAUGUUUUUCUUUAAAAAGGCUUCUCUUUCAACGAAGAAGAGCGCUAUAAUCCUCUCUCUCUCUCUCUCUGAUAUCUCCGCUUAUAAAAUCCUUAAUCCCUCGAUUUCGACGUCUCUGUUUGUUUUCAAUCAACGUUUACUGCCAAAUAUCAAUUCUCUUUAGAGUUUCUUUGUUAGAUUUCGCUCGCUCUUUCAAUGGCUUCUUCUGUCACAGCCUCAAUUCAUUCUUCAAUUUGUGCUUCUCGCUUGCCUUCACUCUACUUAUCGCCUAGCAGAAUUACACCAAAUCAUGUUUUGCUUAAAACUCGAUCACACCUCGCUACUCGCUUGGCUUUCUCUUCGUUGCCGGACAUUCCAAACUCUCCUUUGCCAGUUGAAUUCUCAAGCAAGCCGUUGAGACUCGCCGGUUGGAGUCAAACGAUUAGGCGACGAGGUUCUGUUGAACUUCCUGUCGUAAAAGCUGCAGCUGCUGAUGCCGAAGGACAUGUGGAGCCUGCUAAAAGCUUUGGCGAGAGAUUUCCUGCACUGGUUACGGGUUUCUUCUUCUUUAUGUGGUACUUCUUAAAUGUCGUCUUCAACAUUCUGAACAAGAAGGUCUAUAAUUAUUUCCCAUAUCCAUAUUUUGUAUCGGUCAUACAUCUCUUAGUUGGAGUGGCAUACUGUCUUGUUUCUUGGGCUGUUGGUCUACCAAAACGUGCACCGAUUGACAGGGACCUCCUGCUACUAUUGACUCCAGUUGCAUUCUGUCAUGCCCUUGGACAUGUAAUGUCUAAUGUGUCAUUUGCAGCUGUUGCUGUCUCUUUUACACACACCAUCAAAGCUCUAGAGCCAUUCUUCAAUGCUGCUGCUU
This 960-nucleotide unclassified non-coding RNA is filed under the name Hevea brasiliensis (rubber tree). The record is from RNAcentral. Lineage: Eukaryota; Viridiplantae; Streptophyta; Magnoliopsida; Malpighiales; Euphorbiaceae.